This 734-nucleotide ribosomal RNA is filed under the name uncultured archaeon. RNAcentral describes it as "bacterial SSU rRNA". It matches the Rfam family "Archaeal small subunit ribosomal RNA", at positions 52 to 787 of the family's 1478-position model. The record is from RNAcentral.
UGCUAGUCGCACGAGUUCAGACUCGUGGCGAAUAGCUCAGUAACACGUGGCCAAACUACCCUUCGGAACACAAUACCCUCGGGAAACUGAGGCUAAUAGUGUAUACCAUACCACCACUGGAAUGAGUGGUAUGCCAAACGCCCCGGCGCCGAAGGAUGUGGCUGUGGCCGAUUAGGUAGACGGUGGGGUAACGGCCCACCGUGCCAAUAAUCGGUACGGGUCAUGAGAGUGAGAACCCGGAGACGGAAUCUGAGACAAGAUUCCGGGCCCUACGGGGCGCAGCAGGCGCGAAACCUUUACACUGCACGACAGUGCGAUAGGGGGAUCCCAAGUGCACAGGCAUAGUGCCUGUGCUUUUCGGCACCCUAAGGCGGUGCCAGAAUAAGGGCUGGGCAAGACCGGUGCCAGCCGCCGCGGUAAUACCGGCAGCCCAAGUGAUGGCCGAUCUUAUUGGGCCUAAAGCGUCCGUAGCUGGCCGCACAAGUCCAUCGGAAAAUCCACCCGCUCAACGGGUGGGCGUCCGGUGGAAACUGUGUGGCUUGGGACCGGAAGGCGCGACGGGUACGUCCGGGGUAGGAGUGAAAUCCCGUAAUCCUGGACGGACCGCCGAUGGCGAAAGCACGUCGCGAGAACGGAUCCGACAGUGAGGGACGAAAGCCAGGGUCUCGAACCGGAUUAGAUACCCGGGCAGUCCUGGCCGUAAACAAUGCCUGCUAGGUGUGGCUCCCACUACG